RNAcentral lists this ribosomal RNA (1157 nucleotides) under uncultured organism. RNAcentral describes it as "bacterial SSU rRNA". It matches the Rfam family "Bacterial small subunit ribosomal RNA", at positions 96 to 1255 of the family's 1533-position model. The record is from RNAcentral.
CGGCGCACGGGUGAGUAACGCGUAUGCAACCUGCCAUCCACUGGGGGAUAGCCCGGAGAAAUCCGGAUUAAUACCCCAUACAACCGUAAAGCCACAUGGUUUAACGGGAAAAGCUCUGGCGGUGGGUGAUGGGCAUGCGUGGCAUUAGUUAGUUGGUGGGGUAACGGCCCACCAAGGCGACGAUGCCUAGGGGGCCUGAGAGGGUAGUCCCCCACACUGGUACUGAGACACGGACCAGACUCCUACGGGAGGCAGCAGUGAGGAAUAUUGGUCAAUGGGCGCAAGCCUGAACCAGCCAUGCCGCGUGCAGGAUGACGGCCCUACGGGUUGUAAACUGCUUUUGCACGGGAAGAACCUCCCCGACGUGUCGGGGAUUGACUGUACCGUGAGAAUAAGCAUCGGCUAACUCCGUGCCAGCAGCCGCGGUAAUACGGAGGAUGCUAGCGCUAUCCGGAUUUAUUGGGUUUAAAGGGUGCGUAGGCUGGCGGAUAAGUCAGUGGUGAAAUCCUGCAGCUUAACUGUAGAAUUGCCAUUGAUACUGUUCGUCUUGAGUUCGGUUGAGGUAGGCGGAAUGUGUAAUGUAGCGGUGAAAUGCUUAGAUAUUACACAGAACACCGAUUGCGUAGGCAGCUUACUAAGCCGUUACUGACGCUGAGGCACGAAAGCGUGGGGAGCGAACAGGAUUAGAUACCCUGGUAGUCCACGCCGUAAACGAUGAUCACUAGCUGUUGGCGAUACAUUGUCAGCGGCAAAGCGAAAGCAUUAAGUGAUCCACCUGGGGAGUACGGCCGCAAGGUUGAAACUCAAAGGAAUUGACGGGGGCCCGCACAAGCGGUGGAACAUGUGGUUUAAUUCGAUGAUACGCGAGGAACCUCACCUGGGCUUAAAUGUUGGGUGCAUUCCCGGGAAACCGGGAUUCCCUUCGGGGCUUCCAACAAGGUGCUGCAUGGUUGUCGUCAGCUCGUGCCGUGAGGUGUCGGGUUAAGUCCCAUAACGAGCGCAACCCCUAUCGUUAGUUGCCAUCGGGUCAUGCCGGGGACUCUAGCGAAACUGCCGGUGUAAACCGCGAGGAAGGUGGGGAUGACGUCAAAUCAGCACGGCCCUUAUGUCCAGGGCUACACACGUGUUACAAUGGCCGGUACAGAGGGCAGCUACCU